Molecule: non-coding RNA, 669 nt
Organism: Kogia breviceps (pygmy sperm whale)
Lineage: Eukaryota; Metazoa; Chordata; Mammalia; Artiodactyla; Physeteridae
Source: RefSeq, a predicted model, not a curated record
GCUCGCAUUACCGCCUGAGCUCCAUCUGCUGUCAGCAUUAUGCAAAGCUGUACAAUACAAUAUAGCCCUCUGCCAGCAGAUCUGUUACUAAAGGAAUUCAUGCAUCUUGCAUCUUGAAGAUGCAUUAUUAAUGCCUGGACAAAUCACAUCAGGUGAAACGCAGCAAGUCCCUGGCACUGAAGAAAAGGAACAAAGGCUGGUUCUACAAGAGAGCAAUGGAUGAGACAAAUUAUAACAGCUGGGAGCCUCUUGUGAAUACCUCUCAGAUGGCAGCUGCAUCAGGACAGCAGAGAGCAACAGUCGCUGUGGGCUGCUUUUCCAUCCAUUGGCUCAUAGAUAGUUGCACAGUGUAUGGAUAAACUCAUUACUUGCUAAGGACUGACCCUGACCAGCUUAGCAAGCCUCCACCUAUUAUUUCCAAAGGGAGUCACCCCUCACUGAAGCCAUGACGAGCUUCUUUUCCACUGCAUUCCAAGCUCCUAACAGUGACUUGGAAACAAUCUGCCCAUUGGAAUCUUUUUUUAGUCCAAAACAACAAAGUUUGAAACAUUUGGCUAUAGUGUCAAGUCUGACUUACUACAAUUGCAAACCAUCAGCAAGUUUCCAGAGAGGUUGCAAUGCAAGGUGCUAAUUUGCAGAUGUUAUAGCAAAGAUCUUAUCACUAAACCA